RNAcentral lists this transfer RNA (77 nucleotides) under Nitrospirota bacterium. RNAcentral describes it as "Nitrospirae bacterium (sediment metagenome) tRNA-His". It matches the Rfam family "tRNA". Rfam says of the family: Transfer RNA (tRNA) molecules are approximately 80 nucleotides in length. The record is from RNAcentral. Lineage: Bacteria; Pseudomonadati; Nitrospirota.
GUGACGGUAGCUUAAAUGGUUAAAGCCCUACGCUGUGAACGUAGAUGAUGUCAGUUCGACUCUGAUCCGCCACCCCA